CCCUGGCGGCGUGGCUAGACUUCAAGUCGGACGAGAUUUUCCGCUGUAGCAAUACAGUGGAAAGUCUAGUGGCGAACGGGUGCUUAACACGUGGGCAACCUGCCAGGAAGUGGGGGAUAGCCUCGCCGAAAGGCGAAUUAAUACCGCAUGUGAUUAGAGAGGACAUCCUUUCGAAAUUAAAGCUGGGGCAACCUAGCGCUUCUUGUGGGGCCCGCGGCCUAUCAGCUAGUUGGUGAGGUAACGGCUCACCAAGGCUUUGACGGGUAGCUGGUCUGAGAGGACGACCAGCCACACUGGGACUGAGACACGGCCCAGACACCUACGGGUGGCAGCAGUCGAGAAUUUUUGACAAUGGGGGAAACCCUGAUCGAGCGACGCCGCGUGGAGGAUGAAGGUCUUCGGAUUGUAAACUCCUGUCAUUGGGGAACAAGGUGCAUACGUUAACUGCGUGUGCAUUGAUAGUACCCGAAGAGGAAGAGACGGCUAACUCUGUGCCAGCAGCCGCGGUAAUACAGAGGUC
This 520-nucleotide ribosomal RNA is filed under the name uncultured Verrucomicrobiota bacterium. RNAcentral describes it as "bacterial SSU rRNA". It matches the Rfam family "Bacterial small subunit ribosomal RNA", at positions 36 to 533 of the family's 1533-position model. The record is from RNAcentral. Lineage: Bacteria; Pseudomonadati; Verrucomicrobiota.